UACGUAGGGUGCAAGCGUUAAUCGGAAUUACUGGGCGUAAAGCGUGCGCAGGCGGUUAUGUAAGGCAGUUGUGAAAUCCCCGGGCUCAACCUGGGAACUGCAUCUGUGACUGCAUAGCUAGAGUACGGUAGAGGGGGAUGGAAUUCCGCGUGUAGCAGUGAAAUGCGUAGAUAUGCGGAGGAACACCGAUGGCGAAGGCAGGUCUCUGGGCUGACACUGACGCUCAUGCACGAAAGCGUGGGGAGCAAACAGG
This 253-nucleotide ribosomal RNA is filed under the name uncultured bacterium. RNAcentral's name for it is "partial 16S ribosomal RNA". It matches the Rfam family "Bacterial small subunit ribosomal RNA", at positions 524 to 776 of the family's 1533-position model. The record is from RNAcentral.